CCCUUAGAUGUUCUGGGCCGCACGCGCGCUACACUGACCAGUGCAACAAGCAUCCGUCCUUGGCCGACAGGCCCGGGCAAUCUUUGAACGCUGGUCGUGAUGGGGAUAGACUUUUGCAAUUUUUGGUCUUCAACGAGGAAUUCCUAGUAAACGCAAGUCAUCAACUUGCAUUGAUUACGUCCCUGCCCUUUGUACACACCGCCCGUCGCACCUACCGAUUGAAUGGUCCGGUGAAGCCUCCGGAUUGGCGCGCACCUCGGUGCCGCCGAGAAGUUGGCUAAACCUUACCAUUUAGAGGAAGGUGGAGUCGUAACA
RNAcentral lists this ribosomal RNA (315 nucleotides) under uncultured eukaryote. Its description in RNAcentral is "partial 18S ribosomal RNA". It matches the Rfam family "Eukaryotic small subunit ribosomal RNA", at positions 1470 to 1796 of the family's 1831-position model. The record is from RNAcentral.